This is a long non-coding RNA of Anolis carolinensis (green anole), 2556 nucleotides long. RefSeq lists it as uncharacterized. Lineage: Eukaryota; Metazoa; Chordata; Lepidosauria; Squamata; Anolidae. The record is from RefSeq and is a predicted model, not a curated record. The transcript has 3 exons.
AUAUUACUAUGUAUAUUAUAUCACGAUAUAGUACAAUAUGUUAUUUAAUACCAAUGGUAUAAUAUAGUGGUGGUAUAAGAUUAGAAUAGAUCAAGGAGAAAGAUUUAUUGGAUGAUAAUAAUAAAAUAGAUAAAUAUGUCAUAAGAAAUAGAUAAGACAUUUAUUACUAUUACAAGAAGAAAUAGAAUAAGAAUUAUUUAUUUCAUUAUUAUCAUAUAUACUAUUAUUAUAACAUUAUAUAUUUUUAUAAUACUAUGUAUAUUAUAUCACGAUAUAGUACAAUAUGUUAUUUAAUACCAAUAGUAUAAUAUAGUGGUGGUAUAAGAUUAGAAUAGAUCAAGGAGAAAGAUUUAUUGGAUAAUAAUAAUAAUAAUAAAACAGAUAAAUAUGUCAUUAUAAGAAAUAGAUAAAUAAGACAUUUAUUAUUAUUACUAGAAGAAAUUGAAUGAGAAUUAUUUAUUAUUAUUAUAUAUACUAGUAUUAUAAAAUUAUAUAUUAUUAUAAUACAAUAGAGUCUCACUUAUCCAACAUAAACGGGCCGGCAGAAUGUUGGAUAAGCGAAUAUGUUGGAUAGUAAGGAGAGCUUAAGGAGAAGCCUAUUAAACAUCAAAUUAGGUUAUGAUUUUACAAAUUAAGCAUCAAAACAUCAUGUUAUACAACAAAUUUGACAGAAAAAGUAGUUCAAUACACAGUAAUGUUAUGUUGUAAUUACUAUAUUUAGGAAUUUAGCACCAAAAUAUCACAAUAUAUUGAAAACAUUGCCUACAAAAAUGCCUUGGAUAAUCCAGAACCUUGGAUAAGCGAGGCUUGGAUAAGUGAGACUCUACUGUAAAUAUUAUGUCAUUAUAAAAAUAGAUAAAUAAGAUAUUUAUUAUUAUUAUAAGAAGAAAUGGAAUAAGAAUUGUUUAUUGUAUUAUUAUAUAUACAGUAGAGUCUCACUUAUCCAGGCUUCACUUAUCCAAGUUUCUGUAUUAUCCAAGGCAGUCUGCCUUUUAGUAGUUAUUGUUUUUGUAGUAAAUGUUGCAAUGUUUUGGUGCUAAAUUUGUAAAAACAAUAAUAUUUGUGUGUCUCACUGUAUAUGAUUGUAAAGGCACUGAAUGUUUGCCUAUGUACGUAAAUGCUGUAAUCCGCUCUGAGUCCCCUUGGGGAGAAGGACGGAAUAUAAAUAGAGUGUAUUAUUAUUAUUAUUGUAUGACACCGCAAGCAAGAUAGAUAUGCUGGAUUUCAUUUCACAAAAUCACAAGUCAAACACUUCUCAAGUGUCUAGGACUGUGUGAUGUAUUUUCGGAUGAUGUGUGCAGAUCCCAAUCGGGUGGCCUUUUGCAGUUGACAGAUCGUAAUUUUGUCAAUGUCUAUUGUUUCCAAAUGCCGGCUGAGAUCUUUUGGCACGGCACCCAGUGUGCCCAUCACCACCGGGACCACCUGCACUGGUUUCUGCCAGAGUCUUUGAAGUUCAAUCUUGAGGUGGCAUCGUGAGGACCCAUGUGCUGAGCUGCGCACAGAUGUUUGGGCUGCAAAAUCAGCAAAUGUGGUAGAGGGAUAGCGUUCUAUUUUCAAAGGUUUCCAGGAGCCAGUGCUUGACCAUUGGGAGCAGAAAGUGAAAAAGAGGAAGUACUUUGCAUCAUCAAAACACCAAGAAGUUCAAGUUGGAGGUUCUGCCUACCAGGGCCUCCUCGACCUUUAUGUGGACAAGAUUGAGAAGGUUUCCACUGCCUUUUUCAAGCCUCUGAGCAGGUAAGUCUCUGAUUUGAUUAAUAAACAUUGCUACAGUAUUCUAUAGUAUGAAGAACAGGUUUGAUUAAAAAACAUCCUUAGUCUUUUCACAUAGAAGAAAUCAAUUGAAGAGCCUGCCAUGAGAAACAUACAUGAAAAACCAGCAUGCUCAUAACAAAUGAUGAUAAUAAUAAUAACACUUUAUUUAUAUACCACCCUAUCUCCUCAGGGGACUCAGGGAGUUUCCAACAUGAUCAAAACAAUACAAUACAAUACACAUAAUCAAACAAAACCAUACAGCAAUUUAAAAUAAAACAGCAAAUGUUAUUUGCUCUUGAUGAUGUAUUGGCUAGCACAUACGCACAGAAAGAAAGCAAUUUCAAAGAAUCGAAGCUUAAAAUGAGAUCUCAUGAGAUCUUUGCUUAGUCUUGUCUGUAUUGAAUGUUUUUUUAUAUAUGCUGGAACUCAAUUGACAGACCCAGUCUUUUAAACUUGAACACGCCUAUCUGUAUUUUAUAAUGCGUUUUAUGAAUGUCCCAUGUAAGUUAAUUUUUUAACUGAUUUAUAGUGUAUUGUACAAUUUUAUAUAUGCUUUUUAUUGUAAGCCGCCCUGAGUCCCCUGUUGGGUGAGAAGGGCGGGAUAUAAAUAUUGUAAUAAAUAAAUAAAUAAAAAUGUCUAUAAAAACAAGUUAAGUCAAUGAACAGGCGUGGCACUCUGAACUUGUCUAUGGUCGCUCACCGUGAGCUUAUUAGCUUAUUAUUAUAAUGCUUGACAAUCAGGUUUUUAGGUUUCUUGAUGAAAGUAUAAGAAUUGGCAUAGAAAUGUAAUCUGUUAGAAAUCCC